Vigna radiata var. radiata (mung bean) is the source of this 390-nucleotide long non-coding RNA. RefSeq lists it as uncharacterized. NCBI's taxonomy places the organism in Eukaryota, Viridiplantae, Streptophyta, Magnoliopsida, Fabales, Fabaceae. The record is from RefSeq and is a predicted model, not a curated record. The transcript has 3 exons.
CUGUUAUUUGUACAUUGUAGGGUGAAAACCUUGCUCGAUUUUUUUGCAUGUUGUACAACAGACCGGAAGGCAAUAUUGGACCUCUGUCUGUUGUACAAGCAAACAUCCCAUCCCAACCAAACCUGCAUGACUGUGGAGUUAUAAUGUUACAAGCAAUGCAAAUUUGGGAUGGUUCGAAUAAAUUCAAUGGGAAAAGCAUGCCAAAUUACUCUAAUGAGGAAUUGCUUGCAAUAAGAAAGUAAUACGUACAUGAUUGGAUCUUGGAUAACGACAACAUAAGAAUACUAGAUGCGCUGGAGGUGUACGGAUUGUUGUAGAACAUUUGUUGUUUUGUAAAAAUGUAGGGCAGUUUGUUUUUGUAUAGUUUGUAAGAUACACAAAUGUAUAUGA